AACACGACUCUCGGCAACAGAUAUCUCUGCUCUCACCAUAAUGAAGAAUGUAGCGAAAAUGCGAUACUUAGUGUGAAUUGCAGAAUCCCAUGAAUCAUCAAGUCUUUGAAUGCAAGUUGCGCCCGAGGCUCCAGCCGAGGGCACAUCUGCUUGGGUGUCGCAC
Molecule: ribosomal RNA, 163 nt
Filed under: Taiwania cryptomerioides
Lineage: Eukaryota; Viridiplantae; Streptophyta; Pinopsida; Cupressales; Cupressaceae
Description: 5.8S ribosomal RNA
Rfam family: 5.8S ribosomal RNA
About the family: 5.8S ribosomal RNA (5.8S rRNA) is a component of the large subunit of the eukaryotic ribosome. It is transcribed by RNA polymerase I as part of the 45S precursor that also contains 18S and 28S rRNA.
Source: RNAcentral